GGAAGUAAAAGUCGUAACAAGGUCUCCGUUGGUGAACCAGCGGAGGGAUCAUUACCGAGUUUACAACUCCCAAACCCCAAUGUGAACGUUACCAAUCUGUUGCCUCGGCGGGUUAUUCUCUCUGCCCCGGGCGCGUCGCAGCCCCGGACCAAGGCGCCCGCCGGAGGACCAACUCUCAAACUCUUUUUGUACAUCCCUUCGCGGAUUUUCUAUUACUUCUGAGCUUUCUCGGCGCUCCUAGCGAGCGUUUCGAAAAUGAAUCAAAACUUUCAACAACGGAUCUCUUGGUUCUGGCAUCGAUGAAGAACGCAGCGAAAUGCGAUAAGUAAUGUGAAUUGCAGAAUUCAGUGAAUCAUCGAAUCUUUGAACGCACAUUGCGCCCGCCAGUAUUCUGGCGGGCAUGCCUGUCCGAGCGUCAUUUCAACCCUCGAGCCCCUCCGGGGGGUCGGCGUUGGGGAUCGGCUUACCACUUGCCGGCCCCGAAAUACAGUGGCGGUCUCGCCGCAGCCUCUCCUGCGCAGUAGUUUGCACACUCGCAACGGGAGCGCGGCGCGUCCACGUCCGUAAAACACCCAACUUCUGAAAGGUUGACCUCGGAUCAGGUAGGAAUACCCGCUGAACUUAAGCAUAUCAAUAAGCGGA
RNAcentral lists this ribosomal RNA (642 nucleotides) under Trichoderma sp. CY096. Its description in RNAcentral is "eukaryotic LSU rRNA". The stretch from base 265 to 418 matches the Rfam family "5.8S ribosomal RNA". The record is from RNAcentral. Lineage: Eukaryota; Fungi; Ascomycota; Sordariomycetes; Hypocreales; Hypocreaceae.